UACGGAGGGUGCAAGCGUUAUCCGGAUUCACUGGGUUUAAAGGGCGCGUAGGCGGCCUGAUAAGUCAAAGGUGAAAUCCCUCGGCUCAACUGAGGAAUUGCCUUUGAAACUGUCAGGCUUGAGGCCGGGAGGGGGUGGCGGAAUUCCCAGUGUAGCGGUGAAAUGCGUAGAUAUUGGGAGGAACACCAGUGGCGAAGGCGGCCACCUGGACCGGUUCUGACGCUGAUGCGCGAAAGCGUGGGGAGCAAACAGG
This 253-nucleotide ribosomal RNA is filed under the name uncultured bacterium. RNAcentral's name for it is "partial 16S ribosomal RNA". It matches the Rfam family "Bacterial small subunit ribosomal RNA", at positions 524 to 776 of the family's 1533-position model. The record is from RNAcentral.